CAUCUUCUCUGCAUAAUCCAUUUUUUUGUUUUCUUCCUCUGUUGUUAUUAACUGCUAAUGAUGAUGAUGAUGAUGAAGAAGGCGAUAUAGCUGUUGAUGAUGAAACAGAUUAUAUGAAGAAGCGGGUUUUGGGGGUGUAAGCAUAGAUAGAUCCGAAACAACAAGAGGGAAAGAGAGAGGAGGGGAGAAUAUGAGAUGAGAAUAUGGGAUCUAAGUAGAAUCAGAAAACGGAAUAAACUUAAGACAACCCCAAACCAAAAAUGCUCAAACAGAAACAAAAAUUAAAAAAGCUUUUCUCGACCAAAAAAAAAAAUUUUUUUCUGGAGAAGGUAGUUUUGUAAGAUUAAGGUUUGGUGUUCGCGAAAAACGAUCGGAGGGCGUAGGAGCAGGGAGAGGGAAGGAGAGAAAGAAAAUAUCGAAGUCGG
RNAcentral lists this unclassified non-coding RNA (425 nucleotides) under Hevea brasiliensis (rubber tree). Lineage: Eukaryota; Viridiplantae; Streptophyta; Magnoliopsida; Malpighiales; Euphorbiaceae. The record is from RNAcentral.